RNAcentral lists this ribosomal RNA (558 nucleotides) under uncultured Glomus. RNAcentral's name for it is "partial large subunit ribosomal RNA". It matches the Rfam family "Eukaryotic large subunit ribosomal RNA", at positions 156 to 637 of the family's 3401-position model. The record is from RNAcentral. Lineage: Eukaryota; Fungi; Glomeromycota; Glomeromycetes; Glomerales; Glomeraceae.
AAGCGUUUUCUUGGGCUCGCGGCCGGUAGAAGUUCUUUGGAACAGGACAUCAUAGAGGGUGACAAUCCCGUCCGUGACCGGUCGUGCGUUCAUCUACGAUACGCUUUCAAAGAGUCGAGUUGUUUGGGAUUGCAGCUCCAAAUGGGUGGUAAACAUCACCUAAGGCUAAAUAUUGGCGAGAGACCGAUAGCGAACAAGUACCGUGAGGGAAAGAUGAAAAGAACUUUGAAAAGAGAGUUAAACAGUACGUGAAAUUGUUGAAAGGGAAACGAUUGAAGUCAGUCGUGCUGGCGCGAAAUCAACCAUCUCGUCUUGAGGUCGCAUGGCGCGACGAGCCUCAAAACCGUCACGAAGCGUGAACUCUUGACGAAAGGGUGCACUUUCGUGUCCGCUGGUUAACAUCAAUUUCGAUCGUCAUAAAAGGGCUGGAGGAUGUGGCUCCUUCGGGAGUGUUAUAACCUUUAGCGGAAUGUGGUGUUCGGGAUUGAGGAUUGCAACGAAUACCUUCAGGGCUGUUCCACCUGGCUUCUCAUUGGUAUCCUGGUGACGACAGCUUGC